UUAAAGUAGUAAGGGCGCAGGGUGGAUGCCUUGGCACUAAGAGCCGAUGAAAGACGUGAUAAGCUGCGAAAAGCUUCGGGGAGGAGCACAUAUCCAAUGAUCCGGAGAUAUCUGAAUGGGGAAACCCGGCAGAGGAAACCUCUGUCAGCGUGCAGUGAAUACAUAGCUGUACGUGGGGAACCCGGGGAACUGAAACAUCUAAGUACCCGGAGGAAGAGAAAGAAAAUUUAUCGAUUUCCAAAGUAGCGGCGAGCGAAAUGGAAAGAGGCCAAACCGGAGUGCGUGCACUCCGGGGUUCGGACCGCAUUUAAGAUCUGAUGAUCCUAGCAGAAAGGUUUUGGGAAAGCCUGCCGGAGAGGGUGAAAGCCCCGUAAGCGAAAGGAAAACUGACUGAGCGGGAUCCAGAGUACAUCGAGACACGAGAAACCUUGAUGGAAUGAGCGGGGACCACCCCGUAAGCCUAAAUACUACUUAGUGACCGAUAGCGCAUAGUACUGUGAAGGAAAGGUGAAAAGGACCCCGGGAGGGGAGUGAAAGAGAACCUGAAACCCUGUGUCUACAAGCUGUGGGACCUCUUUAUAUGAGGGACUGCGUACUUUUUGUAGAACGGUCCGGCGAGUUGUGCGUACUGGCGAGGUUAAGGACUUAAGGUCUGGAGCCGAAGUGAAAGCAAGCGUUAAUAGCGCGUCAAGUCAGUGAGUGCAGACCCGAAACCGGGUGACCUAUCCAUGUCCAGGUUGAAGCUUCCGUAAGAGGAAGUGGAGGACCGAACCCACAUCCGUUGAAAAGGGUGGGGAUGAGGUGUGGAUAGCGGAGAAAUUCCAAUCGAACCCGGAGAUAGCUGGUUCUCCUCGAAAUAGCUUUAGGGCUAGCCUCAUGAGAGUCUUAUGGAGGUAGAGCACUGAAUUGCCUAGGGGGCGUCAAAGCUUACCAAAGCAUAUCAAACUCCGAAUGCCAUCAAGAUGAUUCAUGGGAGUCAGACCAUACGAGAUAAGUUGGAUGGUCAAAAGGGAAAGAGCCCAGACCUACAGCUAAGGUCCCAAAGUACGUGUUAAGUGGAAAAGGAUGUGGGGAUUCUAAGACAACUAGGACGUUGGCUUAGAAGCAGCCAUUCAUUGAAAGAGUGCGUAAUAGCUCACUAGUCGAGAGUCCCUGCGCCGAAAAUGUCCGGGGCUGAAACACGACACCGAAGCUUAGGAAUGUGUAAACAUUGGUAGAGGAGCAUUGCUGGCGGGAUGAAGCCAUACCGUAAGGAGUGGUGGACUGCUAGGAAGAGAGAAUGCCGGAAUGAGUAGCGAGAUGAAGGUGAGAAUCCUUCAGGCCGAAUAUCUAAGGUUUCCAGAGUAAAGCUGAUCUGCUCUGGGUAAGUCGGGACCUAAGGCGAGGUCGAAAGACGUAGUCGAUGGAUAACAGGUUGAAAUUCCUGUACCGCAUAUAAACAGAACUGUGGGGACACAGACAGGGAAUGGAAUCCGGGAAUGGAUAUCCCGGUGCAAGCGAGGUAGGAGUGCUGUUGGCAAAUCCGCAGCACGAUCUGAAGACGUGACGCGUACCGAACAUAAGUAGGGAAGUCCAGGCCCCUGGCUGUCAAGAAAAGCCGCUAUUGUUUUAUAUGUGCCCGUACCGCAAACCGACACAGGUGGAUGAGGAGAGAAUCCUAAGGCCGACGGGAGAAGUAUUGUUAAGGAACUCGGCAAAAUGACUCCGUAACUUCGGGAGAAGGAGUGCCAUGAGAGUGGCCGCAGAGAAAUGGCCCAAGCAACUGUUUAGCAAAAACACAGGUCUAUGCAAAACCGCAAGGUGAAGUAUAUGGGCUGACGCCUGCCCGGUGCUGGAAGGUUAAGGGGAGAGGUUAGCGCAAGCGAAGCUUUGAACUUAAGCCCCAGUAAACGGCGGCCGUAACUAUAACGGUCCUAAGGUAGCGAAAUUCCUUGUCGGGUAAGUUCCGACCCGCACGAAAGGCGUAAUGAUUUGGGCACUGUCUCAACGAUACACCCGGUGAAAUUGAAAUACCAGUGAAGAUGCUGGUUACCUGCGCCAGGACGGAAAGACCCCAUGGAGCUUUACUCCAGUUUGAUACUGGGAUUCGGCAUGGUAUGUACAGGAUAGGUGGGAGACUGAGAAGGUAUGACGUCAGUUGUACCGGAGUCGCUGUUGGGAUACCACCCUUACCAUGUUGGAUUUCUAACCUGUGGCCGUAAGCCGGUCAGGGGACAAUGUCAGGCGGGGAGUUUGACUGGGGCGGUCGCCUCCGAAAGGGUAUCGGAGGCGCUCAAAGGU
RNAcentral lists this ribosomal RNA (2280 nucleotides) under human gut metagenome. Its description in RNAcentral is "bacterial LSU rRNA". It matches the Rfam family "Bacterial large subunit ribosomal RNA", at positions 1 to 2317 of the family's 2925-position model. The record is from RNAcentral.